UUUUUUUUUUUUUUGUUUUUUUUUUUAGGGCCACACUAGUGGCAUAUGGGGAUUCCCAGGUUAGGGGUCCAAUCGGAACUGUUGCUGCUGGCCUACACCAACGCUAAAUUCUUAACCCACUGAACCAGGCCAGGGAUCAAACCUGCGUCCUCAUGGAUGUUAGUCAGAUUCAUUAACCACUGAGCCACGAUGGAAACUCCCGUAAGUGACAUUUUUUAUGGAUAUUAAAUAAGUAUAAGCCAUUAUUAUAGGUUUUAAAAUUUGUCCUUUAACCCCAAGAUCUUAGAAGAAAGAGCACUUUCUGCGCAAGAGCUGUUUUCAUGAGAAAGCACGUUGGUUUCUCAAAUGUCAAUGGCCACACUUAAUGUGCUAAUUAGAUAGGUACUUAGAAAAAUCUCAAAAAAAUGUAACAUCUUAACAGGAAGAUCCCAGAAUCACAUAGAGAGUGUUUCUUGUAUAACACAUAAGUGUUCAUUUCCCUUAGAAAACCUCCUUGGAUGUAAUCUGGUUUAUCAGUAUCAUUCAAGUCAUAUAGCUGGUUAAGACAUUCCAAACAAAAUGGCAUUUAUAUUUUUUUCCCCAUGGAAGGGGCUGAGGAGGCAAGAAAGGAAUUAAGCAUCUGUAACUUUUUAAUAUACCCAAUAUACAUAUAAAGGGAUUAUAGUUGAGUUCCUACAUUUUAAAUAUUUUAAUAUGUCAUUCCUACUCUGAUAGGGUCUAUAGCCAGCAUUGUUCUGACAUCACCAGCCAGGCAACUUUCCAGCACCUCAUGCCUCUUUUGCAGUAUCCAUUUUUCCCCAAACCCAUACCAACAACUGCUGAGAGCCCAGCCAUCACCUUGGGAAACACUUUGAAAUAAUAUAAAACUCCAGGGGCAUUCACGAAGCAUUUUAAAAUAUGCCCAUUCCUGAUUCUACAGGUAUACUCAACCACAAAUGUGGGCAUAUAUACUGCAAUAUUUGUGAGGAAAAAUACCGGAAAAAAUCUAAAUGUCCAUCGCCAGGGAUUGUUUAAAUAAACCACAGUAUAUCCACUCUAAGACAUAUUAUGCAGCCUGUAAAAGACUUCAAGAUGGCAAAAUGGUUACAUGAAAAAAGCAACCUGUUGGGAGUUCCUGGUGGCCUAACAGUUAAGGAUUUGGCACUGUCACUUGUGUGGCUCAGGUUCCAGUCCUGGCCUGGGGGAACAUCUGCAUGCCAACGGAUGCAAACAAAAAAACAAACAAACAAAAAAAAAAAAAACAAACAAACAAAAAAGCAAAAUGUACAAAUAGAUAGUACGGUUCUAUUUGUGUUUAAAAAAAUAAGGGGGAGGAGAGUUCCCGUCGUGGCUCAGUGGAUAAUGAACCUGACUAGGAACCCUGAGGUUGCAGUCGGAUUCGUUAACCACUGUGCCUCAACGGGAACUCCUGUCAAAUGAUUUUCAACCAAGAUGCCAAGUCAAUCUAAUGGGAGAAGGAAAAAAAUUUUUUUGUCUUUUUAGGGCUGCACCCACAGCAUAUGGAGGUUCCCAGGUUAGGGGUUCCCACAGCUCACAGCAACACUGAAUCCUUAACCUACUGAGAAAGGCUAGGGAUCGAACCUGCGUCCUCAUGGAUGCUAGUCAGAUUCUUUUCCACUGAGCCAUGACAGGAACUCCAAAAAAAUCAUGUUUUUAAAUGACUGUACCCACAGCAUAUGGAAGUUCCCGGGCCAGGGAUCGACUGCCAUAGCUGUGGCAACACUGGAUUCCAUAGCUCACUGUGCUAAGGAUUGAACCUGCACCUCUAUAGCCACCCGGGCCACUCCAGUAAGAUUCUGAACCCAGUGAGCCACAGGGGGAUAUCCAGGAGAUUAUUUUUAAACAAAUGUUGCUGCAACAACUGAAUAUCCAUGUUGAAAUAAAACUCGUUCUAUGCAAAUAAUUAAUUUGAGGUGCAUCAUAUACCUAGAUAUAAAACUCCAAAAACUCCAAACCAUAGAUGAAAAACCUAAAACCAGUGAGAUGGAUCAAGACUAUUUAUGAUCAAUCAUAAACAUAAAACCCCAAACCAUAAAACUUCUAGAAGAAAAUGUGUUUUUUGUGAGCUUGGGGUCUAAAAUCAUAAACAAAAAACUUGAUAAAGUGGUCUUUAUCAAAACAAAAAUUUCUGCUCAUCAAAAUAUCCCAGUAAGAAAGUGAACAGACAAAUCAGAGCCUAUAAAAAAAAAUCACAGCAUAUAUACCCACCAAAGGACUUGUAUCCAGAAUACACACAAUAACCAUAAUAAAAAGAUAAUUCAAUUUUAAAAUUGGAAAAGACACAAAAGAUAUUUCAUAAAAGAUUAAAAUAAGCAUAUGAAAAGUGCACAACACCAUUAAUCAUCAGGGAAACGUAAAUUAAAAUUAUAGUUAUUUCAUACCCAAUAAAAUGGCCAAUAUAAAAAACACUGACUACAGUAAAUGUUGACAAAGAUAUGAAGCAACUGGAACUCUCAUACACCACUGAUGAGAGUACAAAAUGGUAAACAACUUUAGAAAACAUGAAGCCAGUUUCUUAAAAAGUUAUCACAUAACUCAGCAAUUUUCUAUUCUUAGGUAUUUAUCCAAAAAAAAUGAAAACACAUAUCCACAAAACAAAGACUUAAGAAUAUACAUAGCAGCCUUAUUCAUAAUUGCCCCAAUUAAAACCUUGAAGUCUAAUCAGUAGGAGAAUGGAUUAAAAAAACCUGUGGUAUAUGUAUAUAUUUAUGUAUAUAUAUACAUCAAAUACUACUCAGAAAUAAAGAAUAAUUUACUGAUACAUACAAUAUGGAUGAGUCGUUAAAGUAUUGUAAGUGAAAGAAGCCAGAUGCAAGAGUUCAUGUUAUAUAAUUCUAAUUAUAUAAGUCCAAAGGUAGGCAAGAUAAAUCUUUAGGGAGAUCACAAAUGAUCUUUGGAGUAGGGAAGGGAGCAGGGAUAAUUUGAAAGAUGCACAAGAGAACUUUCUGGAUUAAUAGUAAUGUUCUAUAGCUUCUUUUGCAUUAUCUCACAACAUGUACAAUUGUUGAAACAUCAAUCUGAACACUUAAGAUGGGUGCAAUUUUUGAUUUCUAUCAACUUAAAGGUGAGUAGAGGAUACCUAUUCUAGUAGAAGCAUCUGUCCCCAACCCUUUACUGACCUAUUCUGUUCUCCUAAGUGUCAUCUUUGGGCUUUAAUCUGAUUAGGGCUAGGCUCUUGACUAUAGGAUUUAUCUUAAAGGGCACACAAUCUGGUAUCCCUAAAAAGUAGCAUUUGGAACCUGUGAAGCAAUUCUGUGGAACCAAUAGUUUAUUUCCAUUGAUUAGAGGGCAACCACUGACCACUGUAAAGCACUGACUUGCACUAAUGUGCUUUUUGUUUUGUUUUCUGGCUGCGCCUAGAGCAUGCAGUAGUUCCCAGGCCAGGGAUCAAAUCUGUGCCACAGCAAUGACCCAGGCUGCUGCAAUGACAAUGCUAGAUCCUUAACUCGCUGCACCAAGGGAACUCCUGUACUAAUGUGAUUUUAACAUGAAUAGUUUGUAAAAGACUUAAUUUACUCUAUUGAAAGAUAGUCAAGAAUUAAUGGAGUAAAAUUUAAUUCUUCAAAAGCAAGUACAACAACACUAUUACUCUUCAUUAAACUCAUUCUCUGGUAUUUGUUGCUGUGACGUGUAAGCUAGUCACAGGAUUUUUGGAUACAUACUAUUUCCUAUCCAAAUCAAGUAGACACUGCUCAUGCUUUCUCCUUUGUCAGAAAACUCUUCAGUAUUUGCCCUAGUUAUAUAGAAAUGAACCACAAGUCAGGGUCAUAUGGUAGGAAUUUAUUAACAAGCAACAAUUUUGUUCAUACCAGGAAGACCAGCAAUUAGGUUAUAAAUGACUUGAGAGUAGGUGCAAGAACUUACAAUUUUAGAGCAUUCCAUUAAGAAUGUCUACUGCCCACACAGGCCCACAUGAAGUGCUCCAUAAAAUCUGGUUAUCAUUUUAUGCUGCACUUACUAUGAAAAAAGGAUGUGACCUACAGAGGUCAGAGUACACACAGGGAGUCUCCCUGCAAGAGGAAGUUGGACAAUUUAGUAAGUAGUGAUGUUUUUGGAUAGGGUCCCUUAGAAAACUUAGGACUGUGUGUGUUUGCUCACUCCUUAGGAAUCCCAGCUUUGCCGGUUGAUUCCAGAGAACCAGAUCCUGACUGCCCUGAUUCACGAUUCUAAGAAAUUGCCAUUUAACAUGCACUGAAGUGGUUUCUAGGGCACGACUUUGUCGUUUUGCACAUAGAAACCAAUUUUAACCAUCAGAAGAAAAUCUAAAAUCUUUAGAAGCGGAGUUCCUGUCAUGGCUCAAUGGUUAAUGAACCCAACUGGUAUUCAUGAGGAUGCAGGUUCGAUUCCUGGCCUCGCUCAGUAGGUUAAGGUUCUGGCGUUGCCACGAGCUGUCAUGUAGGUCACAGACACAGCUCAGGUCCCUUGUUGCUGUGGCUGUGGUGUAGGCCCGCAGCUGUAGCCGCGAUUUGACCCCUAGCCUCGGAACCUCCACAUGCCGCAGGUAUGGCCCUAAAAAAGCAAAAAUAAAAUUUACAGAAGCAAGUUUUCAUUCUAAAGAGCCUUCUGGAGAAUUAGCUAUCUACUAUAGUUACUCAUACCUUCCAAAUUCCCACCCUGAAAGGAACUUGAAUACUCCAUGACAGAAAGCACGCAGAUUGAGGAGUUCCCUGGUGGCUCAGUGGGUUAAGAAUCCAGCAUUUUCACUGCAGCGGCUCAGGUCACUGAUGUGGUGGUCAGUCAGAUGGCAAAAAAAAAAAAAAAAAAAAAAAAGCGUGCAACUUGAAAAGCAAAUAUCCAAAUUUUAUAUAGAUGGAGUCAGUGAGGAGGGUUAUACAGAUGCUAAAU
This 4845-nucleotide long non-coding RNA is filed under the name Sus scrofa (pig). Its description in RNAcentral is "lncRNA (ENSSSCG00015003423.1)". Lineage: Eukaryota; Metazoa; Chordata; Mammalia; Artiodactyla; Suidae. The record is from RNAcentral.